ACGUAGCGAAAUGCGAUACUUGGUGUGAAUUGCAGAAUCCAGNGAACCAUCGAGUCUUUGAACGCAAGUUGCGCCCGAAGCCUUCGGGCUAAGGGCACGUCUGCCUGGG
RNAcentral lists this ribosomal RNA (109 nucleotides) under Fagonia charoides. RNAcentral's name for it is "partial 5.8 ribosomal RNA". It matches the Rfam family "5.8S ribosomal RNA", at positions 43 to 149 of the family's 154-position model. From Rfam's summary of the family: 5.8S ribosomal RNA (5.8S rRNA) is a component of the large subunit of the eukaryotic ribosome. It is transcribed by RNA polymerase I as part of the 45S precursor that also contains 18S and 28S rRNA. The record is from RNAcentral. Lineage: Eukaryota; Viridiplantae; Streptophyta; Magnoliopsida; Zygophyllales; Zygophyllaceae.